CAGUUCUAUCAAUCCAGCUUCUUCAGGAUGAUGGGGAACAUGGGUCCCACAAUAGGCCAUCUGUAAGCCGAGGAGCAAGGAAGCCAGUUGAAGUCCCAAAGCUGAAGAGCUUGGAGUCCAAUGUUUGAGGGCAUGGAACAUCCAGCACUGGAGAAAGAGCUCCUGAAAUCGUUUGGGUAAGCAAUUGCUGAUUUUAGUCAAAUUCCCUCACCUCACAAAAAGGCUGGAGUGCAGUGACGUGAACUCGGCUUACUGUAACCUCUGCCCCCACCAGGUUCAAGCAAUUCUCGUACCUCAGCCUCCCAAGUAGCUGGGAUUACAGUGAAGUUUCUGAAAAGUAAUACAGCAGGCAAAUAAAAUCUGCAGGAGACAGCAGAAGGAAAAGCAAUUAUUCUGAAUAAUCUACACAUAAGUUGCUGUAACUUCUCACCUGGAUUCCAGAGCUCUCAUGAAGAAAUAUGAUUUUGUUUGAUAUUUACCACCCCCUUCAAUUUUGAGGAGCGAUUACUUCCAAAGGAGGCAUGUAUGCUGAGUUGUUCUUUGACUCAUCUAUAAAGGUAUUGCAAAAAGGCCUCAUAUGUCCGCUCUAUAAUUGUACAGUUCUCCCGCUAAUGGCAUGAGUUAGUCUAAUACAGAAAUGGAUUAUUAACAGAACAACCUAGCCUUACAUUUAAAUUUACCUUUGACAAUUAAUCAUAAUUGGAAAUAAACAUGAUGUGCAUUGAAUGAACUGACUUGAACGACUGACUGCAGAGUCAUGGUACAGAAAAUGGGCUGGUUUCAGGGCCUGUAGAAACGUUACAAUGGAAUGAUAGAAUUAACAAUGUGCUAAAGACUUUCUAAGAUGUGAGAAAUUACCAGCUUUAAGAGGCAUAAAGGCUUUUAGCAAAUUGAGGGAAUUUGAAUUUCUAACAUCAAAAUGCAAUGUACAAAGGAGGAAAAAAUAUGACUCACCCAGCCCCCAAAUUUCAUAUUUAUAUCUCUGAUUGAAUCUGGUUUUAAAGGCGAAAUUUUAAAGGAAUAAAAGGCAA
Molecule: long non-coding RNA, 1031 nt
Filed under: Homo sapiens (human)
Lineage: Eukaryota; Metazoa; Chordata; Mammalia; Primates; Hominidae
Description: long non-coding RNA NONHSAT200005.1
Source: RNAcentral